GCAAGUCGAACGGACUCUUCGGAGUUAGUGGCGCACGGGUGAGGAACACGUGGGAACAUACCCUUUGGUAGGGAAUAAUGUCUGGAAACGGACACUAAUGCCCUAUAAUGACUACGGUCCAAAGAUUUAUCGCCAAAGGAUUGGCCCGCGCAUGAUUAGAUAGUUGGUGAGGUAAUGGCUCACCAAGUCUGCGAUCAUUAGCUGGUCUGAGAGGAUGAUC
RNAcentral lists this ribosomal RNA (220 nucleotides) under uncultured bacterium. RNAcentral's name for it is "partial 16S ribosomal RNA". It matches the Rfam family "Bacterial small subunit ribosomal RNA", at positions 57 to 305 of the family's 1533-position model. The record is from RNAcentral.